GGGAGGUAGUGACAAUAAAUAACAAUACGGGGUUCUUUCGGAUUUCGUAAUUGGAAUGAGUACAAUUUAAAUCUCUUAACGAGGAACAAUUGGAGGGCAAGUCUGGUGCCAGCAGCCGCGGUAAUUCCAGCUCCAAUAGCGUAUAUUAAAGUUGUUGCAGUUAAAAAGCUCGUAGUUGAAUUUCGGGAUCAAUCUAUCGGUCGUGCAAUAGUACGUACUGAUUUUAUUGAUUCCUCCCUUCUGAUGAACUAUGAUGUCAUUAAUUUGGUGUCAUAGGGAAUCAGGACU
RNAcentral lists this ribosomal RNA (288 nucleotides) under uncultured Glomeraceae. RNAcentral's name for it is "partial 18S ribosomal RNA". It matches the Rfam family "Eukaryotic small subunit ribosomal RNA", at positions 459 to 750 of the family's 1831-position model. The record is from RNAcentral. Lineage: Eukaryota; Fungi; Glomeromycota; Glomeromycetes; Glomerales; Glomeraceae.